UUUAAUGCUUGUGUUGGAUGUACUCUGUAAGCUUGUUUGAUUGGUCUGAAGUGUUUGGUCUUUGUACUGUGCUUGGAUGUACUGUUUGUCAUGUCUGUCCUGCAAUCGCAACUUUUCAGCAAAAAUCAGACCACCUUGGGAGGCACAUUGUAUGUCCGUUUUACCCUCUUGGCUGAAAAACUUGGAAUGAUUGACUUUGCCUUUAAUAGCUACGCCGUCUACCUCUGUCUGCUUCAUUCUUUCCACUGCCUUGAACGGCCCAAGCCAGCCUGAAGAUAUUUGCUGUAACACACACCUGUCACUCUGUGCGUGCGCGUGUGUGUGUGUACUGAGCCGUGGGAACUGACUGCAGACUGUGGAGGAGCAGUUAUGAGCUGGGAAAAACACUGAGGACAUGUUAACUGUGUUAAAGAAGGGCAUAUGUGCACACACAUAAACACAAGCUUACACAGAAUACAAAUGACUCUCCUGGUCGCAGUGACCCAGGCCGCGUCUCUGUGCGCCAAGUCCAGCAGAGGAUAGUGUGAGGAAUAAGCAGCGUCGGGCUAAUUAACAGUGCUGAUGCUGGCCGGUGAAUGAGGCUCGUUCAGCUGCUUAAGAUCAGAUGGAGCGCAGCUUGCUGGGCCACUGAGCACACUGACCCCACAUACUUCAAAAUGCCCUCUAUUUCCCAUCCUGCCCCCAAGAGUGGCCUCCAUGCCUGUGGCUUAUGUCUGUUUGUCUCAAUGAAUGUGUUCAUACAUAUAUGUGUGCCCGCAUAUGACUUAAUGCCUUUAUAGAACAGAUCAAAAAGUCAAAUGUUUCCUGUCUUAAGCUCUAUACACUCCCACACAGUCAGACGUAGUCGUACAUGCA
Long non-coding RNA from Pygocentrus nattereri (red-bellied piranha), 855 nucleotides. RefSeq lists it as uncharacterized. The record is from RefSeq and is a predicted model, not a curated record. Lineage: Eukaryota; Metazoa; Chordata; Actinopteri; Characiformes; Serrasalmidae. The transcript is spliced from 5 exons.